AUUGAACGCUGGCGGCAUGCUUUACACAUGCAAGUCGAACGGAAGCGCGGGCUUCGGCCUGGCGGCGGGUGGUGAACGGGUGAGUAAUACAUGGGAACGUGCCCAGUAGUGGGGGCUUGCUCGACGAAAGCCGGAUUAAUACCGCAUACGUGCUGAGGGUGAAAGCGGGGGCUCAUCGGAUCUCGCGCCAUUGGAGCGGCCGAUGGGAGAUUAGCUAGUUGGUGGGGUAAAGGCGUACCAAGGCGACGAUCUGUAGCUGGUCUGAGAGGACGACCAGCCACACUGGGACUGAGACACGGCCCAGACUCCUACGGGAGGCAGCAGUGGGGAAUUUUGGACAAAGGGCGAAAGCCUGAUCCAGCAAUGCCGCGUGUGUGAUGAAGGCCUUCGGAUUGUAAAGCACUGUUGUCGGGAACGAAAAGAACUGUGCCAAUACCACGGUUCGAUGACGGUACCCGCAGAAUAAGCACCGGCUAACUACGUG
Molecule: ribosomal RNA, 484 nt
Filed under: uncultured bacterium
Lineage: Bacteria
Description: partial 16S ribosomal RNA
Rfam family: Bacterial small subunit ribosomal RNA
Source: RNAcentral